RNAcentral lists this long non-coding RNA (662 nucleotides) under Homo sapiens (human). RNAcentral describes it as "HSALNT0179758". The record is from RNAcentral. Lineage: Eukaryota; Metazoa; Chordata; Mammalia; Primates; Hominidae.
UUUCAAGAAAUAAAUCCAAACCUAAAACAAAAAAAGCCAAUGGUUCACACCAGCAUAUCUGAAACAAACAAGCAAAAAACUAGUUAUAAACUAGAUAUAAAAGGAACUAUGAAGUAUUAAUAAUAACCACCCCUAUUCACUGAGCACAUAUCCUUUCAUACUGGGCACUGUUCCUUAUGUAUACCUGUUUAUCUCAUCCUCACAGCAGAUGAUCUUCCACACAUUAUCAAUGAAGAAAUGAAGGCUCAGGAAGGUUAAGUCACCUGCCGAGGUUCAUAGAGCAAGACUGUUGUGAAGAUUAAAUCAAAGCAAUCAUCAAGUGAAGAUCUCAGCAGUGUUUGACUCACAAUCACUCACUCUUGGGGGAGCCAACUUCCAUGUCGUGAGACCAUUCAAGCAGCCGUAAGGAAAGGCCAACAUAGCAAGGAAUGGAGGCUUCCCGUUAAUAGCCAGUGAAGAACUGUGGCCCUUUGCCAAUGUAUAUGUGAGUGAGCCAUCUUGGAAGUGGGUCCUUGGGCCUCCUUCAAGCCUACAGAUGACCGUAGCCCUUACUGACACAUUGACUGUAAUCUCAUGAGAGACCCUGAGCCAUAACCACCCACAUAAGCUGCCCCCUGACACCUAACCCAUAGAAACUGUGACAUAAUAAAAGGUGUUACAAG